AUUUAAUUAAUUUUGUUAUGUUUUGCUAUGGGUUUUUCUUUUCUAUCCUAUGCAACUACAUGACCAAACGGUGGCUGUCUGGGCUGCUUUGAAAUCUACGUACCCAGCCUGUGGGACAUGGUGCCGUCCAUGCAGACCUCUCAGUAGCACUGGUGCCUUGGAAGAAGGCAAGAGGCCUGAGCCUCCUGUUGCUUCACAGAACCUUGUGGCACUUGCGCCCUCUGCUGUCCAUCCCUUGUUCUGCAGAAGAAAAGUCAAGGCCCAGGGUUGGCCAGCAUUCUGUGUCUUCCCUGGGGAUUGUAGCUCCUGUCAUCUGAAAACUCAUUGCAGCGGCAGCUAAGCUCCUCUCCAGCUCCAUUGUCUUAAGAACGGAAUGCUAGACAGCAGCAGCAAAGGAAAAAAAAAAAGGGUGACUCCAGAGAUGACUGACUGAGGAAGACUCACUUUCAUGGAGGAAUGCUCUGGGGUCCUGGACUGAUCAGAAAGGAAAAGAGGAGAAACCCAGCUAUGAAAUAAGACUUUGGAUUGGAUAACAACGGUUGCAAGCAUCAGCAUCUCUUAACAUUUUUCCCACCUUGACUGGGGAGGCUUCACUUCUCCAUUUCUCAGGAAUGAACCUUCACCUGCCGACUUGGGCAGGAGGUCAGCAGGGGAGAUGUCUGAGUUAAGCAUAUCACAUGCGCCAGAGUCCAGCAGCAUCUGGUUGGAAGCAAGUUCAUGUUGUGAAAAUGAGGCCAGAGGUGCAAAAGGUAAAUUAGUAGGUGAUUAUGUGCUGUGUACAAGAAUCAAUGCUGUAAGGAGUUCUUUAAACAGGCACCAUGGCAAGGUCUGAAUAAAACUCUGUAAGUCCUCCCCAACUCCAGGUGUGGCAGGCACUUGGUAAGAAGAUGCUUGGUUUCCACCAGAUGUAUUGCUAGGAUAGGAUUCAUCACUAAACUGCAAACUGCUUUCUGCCUGUAUAGCUUGGCCACUUCUUAGCCUUUAAAAGAAUUUCUUUAGUUUUUUGUGUAUGAGUAUUUUUGCCCAUAUGUGAGUUUGUGUACCACAAAUGUGUCCGUGAAGGCCAGGAGUGGGUGUCAGAUACCCUGAAAUUGGAUUCACAGGUUUUUGAGCCACCAUGAGGGUGCUGGGAACUAAAUAUAGGUCCCCUGUAAGAGCAGCAGGUAUUUUU
Mastomys coucha (southern multimammate mouse) is the source of this 1171-nucleotide long non-coding RNA. RefSeq lists it as uncharacterized. Lineage: Eukaryota; Metazoa; Chordata; Mammalia; Rodentia; Muridae. The record is from RefSeq and is a predicted model, not a curated record. The transcript is spliced from 5 exons.